GGGACAGUGGCGCAGUGGUAGCGCGUGGCAUUGCAGCUUCAAGCUGUCUUGCUUAGGUCGGGUGUUCGAAUCACCCCUGUCCCU
Molecule: non-coding RNA, 84 nt
Organism: Zopfia rhizophila CBS 207.26
Lineage: Eukaryota; Fungi; Ascomycota; Dothideomycetes; Zopfiaceae
Source: the annotation of a GenBank genome assembly